This 898-nucleotide ribosomal RNA is filed under the name uncultured archaeon. RNAcentral describes it as "bacterial SSU rRNA". It matches the Rfam family "Archaeal small subunit ribosomal RNA", at positions 1 to 905 of the family's 1478-position model. The record is from RNAcentral.
UUCUGGUUGAUCCUGCCAGAGGCUACCGCUAUUGGAGUUCGAUUAAGCCAUGCGAGUCGCGAGUCCUAGGGACUCGGCGUACCGCUCAGUAACACGUGGGUAACCUGCCCUAUGCAGGGGGAUAACCUCGGGAAACUGAGAAUAAUACCCCAUAGUUCACUACGCCUGGAACGGUGAGUGGAUGAAAGCUCCGGCGGCAUAGGAUGGGCCUGCGGCGUAUCAGGUUGUAGGGGGUGUAACGUACCCUCUAGCCCUCUACGCGUACGGGUGUUGGGAGACAUAGCCCGGAGAUGGAUUCUGAGACACGAAUCCAGACCCUACGGGGUGCAGCAGGCGCGAAAACUUGACAAUGCGAGAAAUCGUGAUCAGGGAACUCCAAGUGGCUGGGGUAAGACCCAGUCUUUUCUUGGCUCUACAAAGGUCUUGGAAUAAGGGGUGGGUAAGGACGGUGCCAGCCGCCGCGGUAAUACCGGCGCCUCAAGUGGUAGUCGCUUUUAUUGGGCCUAAAACGUCCGUAGCCGGUCUGAUACAUUCGUGGGUAAAUCAACUAGCUCAACUAGUUGAAUUCUGCGAGGACGGUCAGACUUGGGACCGGGAGAGGUGUGGGGUACGCUCAGGGUAGGGGUAAAAUCCUGUCAUCCUAAGCGGACCACCUGUUGCGAAGGCGCCACACUAGAACGGAUCCGACGGUCAGGGACGAAGCCUAGGGGCACGAACCGGAUUAGAUACCCGGGUAGUCCUAGGUGUAAACGCUGUGGACUUGAUGUUGGGGGCGCUCCGAGCGCUUCCAGUGUCGAAGCGAAGGUGAUAAGUCCACUGCCUGGGAAGUACGGUCGCAAGGCUGAAACUUAAAGGAAUUGGCGGGGGAGCACCGCAACCUGAGGAUUGUGCGGUUUAA